RNA transcript from Raphanus sativus (radish), 1424 nucleotides. It is a transcript of the gene named ATP phosphoribosyltransferase 2, chloroplastic, with no coding region annotated. The record is from RefSeq and is a predicted model, not a curated record. Lineage: Eukaryota; Viridiplantae; Streptophyta; Magnoliopsida; Brassicales; Brassicaceae. The transcript is spliced from 12 exons.
AGCCAACCAUGUCUAUGGCGACUCCCCUCAACACCACUCUACAACGCUCGCCUCUUCCUCUUCCUUGUUUCUCAGUCUUCUUCUCUCCGUUUCAUCCCUCCACCACUCUUUCAGUUACCGGAAUUCGCAAAAGAUGUCUCAGGAUGGUCACUUCAUGCGUCUCACACUCUCAGAGCUCUGUUCAGAACAACGGUGUCACCGACGCCGCCGUAUCUGUGAGAAACCAGAUUCGUCUUGGUCUUCCUAGCAAGGGACGCAUGGCCACCGAUACCCUAGAUCUUCUCAAGGAUUGUCAAUUAUCUGUGAAACAAGUCAAUCCGCGGCAAUAUGUUGCUCAGAUUCCUCAGCUACCGAACACUGAAGUUUGGUUUCAACGGCCCAAAGACAUUGUCAGAAAGUUACUCUCUGGAGAUCUUGAUCUAGGUAUCGUUGGCCUUGACAUAGUUAGUGAAUUUGGUCAGGGAAAUGAAGAUCUGAUCAUUGUCCAUGAAGCUCUCAACUUUGGAGACUGUCAUCUCUCCCUUGCGAUACCAAAUUAUGGGAUAUUUGAGAAUAUAAAUUCUCUCAAGGAGCUCGCACAAAUGCCUCAGUGGACUGCGGAAAGACCUUUACGAGUCGCUACAGGAUUCACUUAUCUAGGACCCAAAUUUAUGAAAGAGAACGGUAUAAAGCACGUGACUUUUUCAACUGCAGAUGGAGCACUCGAGGCAGCUCCUGCGAUGGGGAUAGCCGAUGCCAUCUUAGACCUUGUGAGCAGUGGGACAACCCUUAAAGAGAACAACUUGAAAGAGAUUGAAGGAGGGGUGGUUCUGCAAAGCCAGGCUGCACUUGUGGCAAGCAGGAGGGCAUUGACUGAGAGAACAGGAGCAUUAGACACAGUGCAUGAGAUUCUCGAGAGAUUGGAAGCCCAUUUGAAGGCGGCUGGUCAAUUCACUGUUGUUGCAAACAUGAGAGGAACGGAUGCUGAGGAAGUGGCUGCUCGUUUGAAAACACAACCAUCGUUAUCAGGAUUGCAGGGACCAACAAUAAGUCCAGUUUACUGUAAGCGAGAUGGAAAAGUAUCUAUCGAGUUCUAUGCCAUUGUGAUAUGUAUACCCAAAAAGGCCCUAUACGAGUCUGUGCAGCAACUGAGAGCGGUGGGAGGGAGUGGGGUGCUGGUUUCACCUCUGACAUACAUUUUUGAUGAGGAGACUCCGAGAUGGAGUCAGCUUUUGAGUAACCUCGGACUUUGAUGCUGCUUUCUUACUCAAGACAAGACUUUGGUUUAGUCAGACGCAUGCAAUGGAAUCAGGAUCUAUGAUGGAAUACAUCAGAAGAACAUAGUAUCUCUAUCUAUACCGCCUGUGGACAAGGACCCACUCUGUGACUCCUCACCACCUGUUGCAAAAAAUGAAAUCUUUAUGGGAGUUCAUAUUUGACACGCG